Molecule: small nuclear RNA, 107 nt
Filed under: Heterocephalus glaber (naked mole-rat)
Lineage: Eukaryota; Metazoa; Chordata; Mammalia; Rodentia; Bathyergidae
Source: RNAcentral
GUGCUUGCUUCAGCAGCACAGGUACUAAAACUGGACCAAUAAGGAGAAGACUCACUUGGUCCCUGAAUAAGAAUGGCAGGCAAAUUUGUGAAGCAUUCCUUGAAAAA